AAGCUUGUCCUUGGCUGAGGAUUUAAAACAAAAGUGUCACGUGAUAACUUAGAAGGCAGGAAUGUACUAAGUUUGAAGUCCUAGGUGAGAAGCCCUAGGUAAAAAGCUUAGAAAACAGAAUCUUAGUACUAUGGUUACUAUUGGUUGCAUUUGUCAGGGUGAAAAAAAAACAACAACAAAACACUUUGAAAGUAAGAGGCUAACUGCAUCCAUGGAUAGGAUACACAUUAAAACACAGAAUCUUUGACCCCACCCCCAGACACAGGAAAAAAGGGGGGGUGGCUGUAGCUCUAAUCAUUAGAGCUAUUCAUAAAUAUUUUGACUCUUUCCUGGGGAAAUAGUAGGACUGCAGUUCCCUGCCCAGGUGAAGUUGGACAUGGCCCUGUCAUUUUGUACUUCCAAUAAAAUGUAAACAGAAGUCAUGUGUGUCAAUUUCAGGUUACAAAGCAGGAUGAAAGAACUGUUCAGAAACAACAAAAUCAAUCUUCAUGUCAUAAUGAACACUAGAACAGAAAUUUUUAGAUUAUGACAAUAAAAAGCCAAGACCCCGUUUUCACUGCACAGAAGUUUAUUGUGAAAGUAAAUUAAACAUACAAACACACAUUAUGGCUAAUGGUGGCAAAAGCAAUCUGGUAGGUUAAGGCAAGUUUUAAUGGAGAUGAAUUUAGAAAAGAUGACGCAAUGAUGUAAUUCUGUUUAAAUAUAGAUUAUGGGAAAAUAUCGAAUUGCAUCAAUAACUUAAUAAAAGUAGCUCCAAAGCCUGCACUAUCAGAGAAAAAGGGCUCAUGAUCUUAAUGCCAGCAUUAAGACAGAUGGAAGCAGCAUUGUGCUAAAUGACAGGAAAAAUUCAGUAUUUACAGAAUGGCAACAUUAACAUUUAAUAACAUUUGAUCGUAGUUA
Phyllostomus discolor (pale spear-nosed bat) is the source of this 900-nucleotide long non-coding RNA. RefSeq lists it as uncharacterized. The record is from RefSeq and is a predicted model, not a curated record. The transcript is spliced from 2 exons. Lineage: Eukaryota; Metazoa; Chordata; Mammalia; Chiroptera; Phyllostomidae.